AACGAACGCUGGCGGCAUGCCUAACACAUGCAAGUCGAACGAGACCUUCGGGUCUAGUGGCGCACGGGUGCGUAACGCGUGGGAACCUGCCCUUAGGUUCGGAAUAACUCCCCGAAAGGGGUGCUAAUACCGGAUAAUAUCUUCGGCCCAAAGAUUUAUCGCCUUUGGAGGGGCCCGCGUUGGAUUAGCUAGUUGGUAGGGUAAAAGCCUACCAAGGCGACGAUCCAUAGCUGGUCUGAGAGGAUGAUCAGCCACACUGGGACUGAGACACGGCCCAGACUCCUACGGGAGGCAGCAGUGGGGAAUAUUGGACAAUGGGCGAAAGCCUGAUCCAGCAAUGCCGCGUGAGUGAUGAAGGCCUUAGGGUUGUAAAGCUCUUUUACCCGGGAUGAUAAUGACAGUACCGGGAGAAUAAGCUCCGGCUAACUCCGUG
This 433-nucleotide ribosomal RNA is filed under the name uncultured bacterium. RNAcentral describes it as "partial 16S ribosomal RNA". It matches the Rfam family "Bacterial small subunit ribosomal RNA", at positions 29 to 507 of the family's 1533-position model. The record is from RNAcentral.